This 678-nucleotide long non-coding RNA is filed under the name Homo sapiens (human). Its description in RNAcentral is "HSALNT0113910". The record is from RNAcentral. Lineage: Eukaryota; Metazoa; Chordata; Mammalia; Primates; Hominidae.
CCUCAGUCCCCCAUCUCUACUCCAGCCAUGUUCAGCUGUCAGAAAUGAGAAGAUGAAACCAGGACCAACGUGGAUUAAAUAGAGUUUGUCUCUUCCAGAAUCAAAGCUGUAAAACUACAAAUCAUUCUUCAAAUGGAGCCCCAGAUGCAGUCCAUGACUAAGAUCUACCAUGGACCCCUGGACCGGCCUGCUAGCCCAUGCUCCGAAGUUGAUGACAUCGAAGGCACCCCUCCCAAGGAAAUUUCAACUGCACGACCCUUACUAUGCCCCAAUUCAGCAGGAAGCAGUUAGAGCUGUCGUCAGCCAACCUCCGCAAGAGCACUUGGGUUUUCCUGUUGAGAGGGGCUACUAAGAGACAGGACUAGCUGGAUUUCCUAGGCCAACUAAGAAUCCCUAAGCCUAGCUGGGAAGUUGACCACAUCCACCUUUAAACACGAGGCUUGCAACUUAGCUUACACACAACCAAUCAGGUAGUAAAGAGAGCUCACUAAAAUGCUAACUAGGCAAAAACAGGAAGUAAAGAAAUAGCCAAUCAUCUAUUGCCUGAGAGCACAGGGGGAGGGACAAUGAUCGGGAUAUAAACCCAGGCAUCGGAGCCGGCAAUGGCUGUCCCCUUUGGGUCCCCUCCCUUUGUAUGGGAGCUCUGUUUUUACUCUAUUAAAUCUUGCAAUUGCAAAA